UACGUAGGUGGCAAGCGUUGUCCGGAUUUACUGGGCGUAAAGCGUGUGUAGGCGGACCUUUAAGUAGAAAGUGAAAGGUAGGAGCUCAACUCCUACAUUGCUCUCUAUACUGGAGGUCUUGAGUGUCGGAGAGGAAGAUGGAACUGCACGUGUAGCGGUGAAAUGCGUUGAGCUGUGCAGGAACACCAAUGGCGAAGGCAAUCUUCUGGACGAAAACUGACGCUGAGACACGAAAGCCAAGGUAGCAAACAGG
RNAcentral lists this ribosomal RNA (253 nucleotides) under uncultured bacterium. RNAcentral's name for it is "partial 16S ribosomal RNA". It matches the Rfam family "Bacterial small subunit ribosomal RNA", at positions 524 to 776 of the family's 1533-position model. The record is from RNAcentral.